Sander lucioperca (pikeperch) is the source of this 1427-nucleotide long non-coding RNA. RefSeq lists it as uncharacterized. The transcript is spliced from 2 exons. NCBI's taxonomy places the organism in Eukaryota, Metazoa, Chordata, Actinopteri, Perciformes, Percidae. The record is from RefSeq and is a predicted model, not a curated record.
CAACAAAUGUUUGGAAAUGACACAAAGUUGAAAUUAUUUUAAAACCCUAAAAGAUUCAGGGCUUUUGACAAAACAUUUGGGCCAAUAGCCACCCCCCCAGCAUACAUUUGCUACCUUACAUGCAUCUUUGUUUAUGAAGCAGCACAACUGCACAGUGAACAAGAAACAUGAUGUCACGUUAGAGUAGAAAAGCACUUAUUUGGCACUCUCCUUAAGCAGAGGGAGUUAGUGUGUGAGCUACAGUUUGCAUCAUGUUAUCCAGAUGUGUGUGUGUGUGUGUGUGUGUGUGUGUGUGUGUGUGUGUGUGUGUGUGUGUGUGUGUGUGUGUGUGUGUGUGUGUGUGUGUGUGUGUUGACCCCUGCAGCUGCUAACACAUAUUUGACACACAGAUUACAGGUGGAGACAGUGAUUAUUGUCCUUAGUUGUACUCUGUGUUUUUCCUCUUUCUUCACUUUGUUUUCCCAGUGUUUCUCUCUAUGUCUCGGAGUAAUGAUGAUGUACAAAGUGUAACCGAGUCUGUGUUUUAUCGCUCUCAUCCUCUGUGUCCGUCUCGAAAAAUGGAUAUUUAUCCUGUCACGCUCUACUUGGCACUUUGACAUAUCGAUGUUUCAGCCCUAAAAUCAACACCAUGGAUUUUCUGCGUGUAUGUGUCAUGGCACAUUAACCGUCCCUUUACAUUCUCACCACGUAUGAUUUACCAUUCCAGAUGAUGUAUGGAGCCGAUGACACAUCUUUGCAAAUAACCUUGACUCUUUUCAGGGCUUGUGCUUUUGAUUGCUUUCUGCUUUCCUCUAUGUUCAUGUCUUUAAAGAGCUAGAGAGCAUAUCGGGCAUCGUGUACCAGCCCAUCCAUCCUCUUGCAAAUACACAGUUGAUUCCUAAGCAAUAAAGGAGCCUUGCUAAAUUCAUCCAGUAAAAGAAAGGAAACAGACAUGGUAAGUCAAAAUCAUGAGAUACUAAGUCAAAAUAAGGACAGUUCACCCCAAAAUCAAAAAUACAUAUUUUCCUCUUACCUAUAGUGUUAUUUAUCAGUCUACAUUGGUUGGGUGUGAGUUGCCCAGAGUUGGAGAUAUCGGCCGUAGAGAUGUCUGCCUUCUCUCAAAUAUAAUGGAACUAGAUGACACUUGGCUUGUGGUCCUCAAAGCUCCAAAAAUAUACAUAUAUUAAAAAAAAAACUCAACAGCAAUGUCUCUUUCUAGAAAUCAUGACCCGGUUGCACAAGAUAAUCAACAGACCUGGUUGUGAGCAGUUUCAUGUUUUCUUUCUUCCGAACUCAACCGUCAGCGGUAUCAUGGCGUACUCAUGGACAAGAGGCUCGAGAUGUGAACAGGAGAUUCAUUUAUCGCUAGUGUUGCAUUGCCAGACCUGUCUCCACAGCGCUGCGGAGGAAGGUCUGGCAACAUGAGCAUACACUCCUGGGUAGGAGAA